AUCCUUUUGUAGUUUAUGAGCAUGAUGACUGGGUGUUCACACACUGGUGUGAGAUGUGCCACCCUCAAACCUUGUUAUGUUCGGCAUAUUACCCAACAGACC
This is a small nucleolar RNA of Rhinopithecus roxellana (golden snub-nosed monkey), 102 nucleotides long. RefSeq annotates it as small nucleolar RNA U13. The record is from RefSeq and is a predicted model, not a curated record. The transcript has a single exon. NCBI's taxonomy places the organism in Eukaryota, Metazoa, Chordata, Mammalia, Primates, Cercopithecidae.